RNAcentral lists this small RNA (583 nucleotides) under Pongo abelii (Sumatran orangutan). RNAcentral describes it as "processed transcript". The record is from RNAcentral. Lineage: Eukaryota; Metazoa; Chordata; Mammalia; Primates; Hominidae.
GUGCUCGCGCACCCCAAGAUGGCUGGGAGACAGGAAGAGCAGAGAGCGAGCCCGCCCUUGAGGGCGGAAGGCAAGGCCGACGCGGAGGUUAAGCUCAUUCUGUACCACUGGACGCAUUCCUUCAGCUCUCAAAAGGUGCGCUUGGUAAUUGCUGAAAAGGCAUUGAAGUGCGAGGAACAUGAUGUAAGUCUGCCCUUGAGUGAGCACAAUGAGCCUUGGUUUAUGCGUUUGAACUCAACUGGAGAAGUGCCUGUCCUUAUCCACGGGGAAAACAUAAUUUGUGAGGCCACUCAGAUCAUUGAUUAUCUUGAACAGACUUUCCUGGAUGGCCAAAUUGGAAACACAGAGUCUGAGCUGAAGAAACUUGCUGAAGAAAACCCAGAUUUACAAGAAGCAUACAUUGCAAAACAGAAACGACUUAAAUCAAAGCUGCUUGAUCAUGACAAUGUCAAGUAUUUGAAGAAAAUUCUUGAUGAGUUGGAGAAAGUCUUGGAUCAGGUUGAAACUGAAUUGCAAAGAAGAAAUGAAGAAACCCCAGAAGAGGGCCAGCAACCUUGGCUCUGCGGUGAAUCCUUCACCCUGG